CACGUAGGGUGCGAGCGUUGUCCGGAAUUAUUGGGCGUAAAGAGCUCGUAGGCGGUGUGUCGCGUCGGCCGUGAAAACCUGCAGCUUAACUGUGGGCUUGCGGUCGAUACGGGCAGGCUGGAGUUCGGUAGGGGAGACUGGAAUUCCUGGUGUAGCGGUGAAAUGCGCAGAUAUCAGGAGGAACACCGGUGGCGAAGGCGGCCUUCUGGACAGUGACUGACGCUGAGACGCGAAAGCGUGGGGAGCAAACAGG
Molecule: ribosomal RNA, 253 nt
Filed under: uncultured bacterium
Lineage: Bacteria
Description: partial 16S ribosomal RNA
Rfam family: Bacterial small subunit ribosomal RNA
Source: RNAcentral